RNAcentral lists this ribosomal RNA (329 nucleotides) under uncultured bacterium. RNAcentral describes it as "bacterial SSU rRNA". It matches the Rfam family "Bacterial small subunit ribosomal RNA", at positions 160 to 507 of the family's 1533-position model. The record is from RNAcentral.
UUGCUAAUACCUCAUAACUGUGGGACCCGCAUGAGACCCACACUAAAGNUUUAUUGUGCAGAGAUGAGCUUGCGUCCGAUUUAGAUAGUAGGCGGGGUAACGGCCCACCUAGUCGACGAUAGCUAUCCGGCCUGAGAGGGUGAACGGCCACAUUGGGACUGAGACACGGCCCAAACUCCUACGGGAGGCAGCAGUGGGGAAUAUUGCACAAUGGGGGAAACCCUGAUGCAGCGACGCCGCGUGAGUGAAGAAGUAUUUCGGUAUGUAAAGCUCUAUCAGCAGGGAAGAAAAUGACGGUACCUGACUAAGAAGCCCCGGCUAACUACGUG